GAAUACAUGCAGAGGCUGGAAAAACUGAGUGAGUGUCGCAAGAGAUGUAUCUCCAAACAAUGUGUUUGAUAUCAAUUUCACAUAGUUUAUUGGGAUACCGUAACGAAGCCACGCGUGCGUGCGUGCGUGCGUAUGUACGUACACGUACACGUACACGUACACGUACACGGUUUUCUUUUGGCUUCCCUCUGCCUAAGCGUUGCCGUAUAAUUUCUUUCGGGUGAUAAAUCGAGGGCGGUCGAUGAACAGUGCAAGCUUGAAGUAUCCUGCGCAGGAAACGGGAAAUGGCAUUGACGGCGGCGGCUUGGGGCCAGGCGAUUCUGCGGCCGCUGCCUCCUCAUCUCCAACCAAGCCCAACCCGACGCCAUCUUCCCUUCUGGAUCUCCACCAGAACCGCCGCCGCCGACACUACCACCGUUGUCCGCGUCUCUCCACGACCUGGAGGAGGAGGAAGAGGAGGGAAGGAGGAAGAAGAAGAAGAAGGAAGCAUGAGUUCUAUUGAUACGUCGCGACUCUUGUCGGAUGAUUUCAAUUACCUAUGGAAAUUGGCUGCUGGCUCCAUUGGUGGUGCUUCUGCCGUCAAGUAUGGAAGCGUUCUUUUCCCGGAUAUAACACGGCCUAACAUAGUGCAAGCUCUUUUGAUGAUAUCACUGCCUGUUCUUGUUGCUAUUCUGAUUUUAAUCAAGGAAAGCAGUAAGGAUGUCCAAGAUGAGGAGCUACUUUAAAAUACUGAUCCAUUCUCUGCUGGGAUAACAUGACAACAUCUGCUGUGUGCAACAACAGAGAUUGAUGACACCAGUUUCUUGUAAUUGAAACAUGACCUGAUUCUCCUUUUUCAUCAUUAUUCAGUUUUUCUUGAAUCUCA
This is an RNA transcript of Musa acuminata AAA Group (dessert banana), 865 nucleotides long. RefSeq lists it as uncharacterized. NCBI's taxonomy places the organism in Eukaryota, Viridiplantae, Streptophyta, Magnoliopsida, Zingiberales, Musaceae. The record is from RefSeq and is a predicted model, not a curated record. The transcript is spliced from 3 exons.